CAGGAGAAAGCAACUCAUUCUGGAGGCCCUGGGAAGAUCACGGAUGAAAUAGGUCUGAAAUGACUGUUCAGUCUGAGGCUGAUCAAAUCUAGAGGGGCUCCUGCUCCGGUUCCCAGUGUGUGCAGUGGCAGCUUGCAGAAGUAGUGACAUCACAGCCUUCCUGAAAAAGCCCUGGAGUAAAAUGAAGAAGAGGAGGCCCUUCCUGAGCAUGGCAGAGAGGGAGAUGCUGCACAUUUCACAUUGUAUUUCUUUUCUUUUUUUUUUUUUUUUUUAAGGCAACAGCCCAAUCUCCCGAGGAGGCUAGAUCAGACACAUUUGCUGUUUCUUGAGAAUAAACUUCCCAGUAUGUUUGUACAGCUGCAUACUUGAUUCAGUCGCUGCAGGCUGACUGAUUGCUUCAGUGGAAGCAGGGCCGGCUCUAGGAUUUUGCCGCCCCAAGCAAAAAAAAUUUUGGCUGCCCCCGUCCCAGCCCUGGGCUCCUUGCCACACACCCCCUGCUGCCCCAGUCCUGGGCUCUCCCCCGCCACCCACACCCCCUGCUGCCCCAGUUCUGGACUCCCCCCUUCAUUGCCCCCCCACACACCUCCUGCCGCCCCAGCCCUAGGCUCUUUCCCCCCCACCCCACCUGCACCCACUUCUGCCACAGCCCUCGGUCACUGGUAACUCGCUCCCAGGGCAGGUCAUUCAGCAGGAAUUGUAGAUGUGCACAGAACACAGACAGGACUGGUUCCCAUAUGGUUACAGAACUGCAGUAAAGUGGAACAAUUUUCAGCUUGUGUGAUUGGAGGAUAUCUGGAUGCAUAAGACAGUCCUACAUAAAUGAGGAAAAGUUGAGGUGGCUUCUUUUUUUUGUUCCACUCUUUCUUUCUAUGGGGAAUUUGCUAAUGCAAUAUCACGGUCUUCCUUUUAAACAAACAAACAAACAAACAAAAAGGCAA
This is a long non-coding RNA of Gopherus flavomarginatus (Mexican gopher tortoise), 938 nucleotides long. RefSeq lists it as uncharacterized. The record is from RefSeq and is a predicted model, not a curated record. NCBI's taxonomy places the organism in Eukaryota, Metazoa, Chordata, Testudines, Testudinidae. The transcript has 3 exons.